UACGUAGGAUGCGAGCGUUGUCCGGAAUUAUUGGGCGUAAAGGGCUCGUAGGCGGUUUGUCGCGUCGGGAGUGAAAACCAGGUGCUUAACACCUGGCUUGCUUUCGAUACGGGCAGACUAGAGGUAUUCAGGGGAGAACGGAAUUCCUGGUGUAGCGAUGAAAUGCGCAGAUAUCAGGAGGAACACCGGUGGCGAAGGCGGUUCUCUGGGAAUGACCUGACGCUGAGGAGCGAAAGUGUGGGGAGCGAACAGG
Molecule: ribosomal RNA, 253 nt
Filed under: uncultured bacterium
Lineage: Bacteria
Description: partial 16S ribosomal RNA
Rfam family: Bacterial small subunit ribosomal RNA
Source: RNAcentral